GACAAGUACGGAAUCGAGGACCGAAAGGCCUGCGCCAGCGAUGGCCGGUUGCGAGGUGCUGCAUGGUUGUCGUCAGCUCGUGCCGUGAGGUGUCGGGUUAAGUCCCAUAACGAGCGCAACCCCUACUGCUAGUUGCCAGCGGGUUAUGCCGGGGACUCUAGCGGAACUGCCAGCGUAAGCUGCGAGGAAGGUGGGGAUGACGUCAAAUCAGCACGGCCCUUACGUCCAGGGCUACACACGUGUUACAAUGGCCAGUACAGAGGGCAGCCACCCCGCGAGGGGCGCUAAUCCUAAAAGCUGGUCCCAGUUCGGAUCGGAGUCUGCAACUCGACUGCGUGAAGUCGGAAUCGCUAGUAAUCGUGAAUCAGAAUGUCACGGUGAAUACGUUCCCGGGCCUU
RNAcentral lists this ribosomal RNA (398 nucleotides) under uncultured Rikenellaceae bacterium. RNAcentral's name for it is "bacterial SSU rRNA". It matches the Rfam family "Bacterial small subunit ribosomal RNA", at positions 978 to 1382 of the family's 1533-position model. Lineage: Bacteria; Pseudomonadati; Bacteroidota; Bacteroidia; Bacteroidales; Rikenellaceae. The record is from RNAcentral.